This 433-nucleotide ribosomal RNA is filed under the name uncultured bacterium. RNAcentral's name for it is "partial 16S ribosomal RNA". It matches the Rfam family "Bacterial small subunit ribosomal RNA", at positions 29 to 507 of the family's 1533-position model. The record is from RNAcentral.
AGCGAACGCUGGCGGCAGGCCUAACACAUGCAAGUCGAACGAACUCUUCGGAGUUAGUGGCGGAUGGGUGAGUAACACGUGGGAACGUGCCUUUAGGCUCGGAAUAACUCAGUGUAACUUGUGCUAAUACCGAAUGUGCUCUUCGGGGGCAAGAUAUAUCGCCUUUAGAGCGGCCCGCGUCCGAUUAGCUUGUUGGGGAGGUAAAGGCCCACCACGGCGUCGAUCAGUAGCUGGUUUGAGAGGAUGGUCAGCCACUUUGGGGCUGAGACACGGCCGGAACUCCUACGGGAUGCAGCAGUGGGGAAUCUAGCGCAACGGGCUAAGGCCUGACGCAGCCAUGCCGCGUGAAUGAUGUAGGUCGGAGGAUAGUAAAAUACUUUCACCGGGGACGGUAAUGACGGUACCCGAAGAAGAAGCCCCGGCUAACUUCGUG